AUUCACCAUCAACAGUUUUUAUGUACACUGCUCGGAUAAUAGCUACAAAUAUCCAAUUCAAUCAGCUACUGUAUCAGAAACAACGCUUUAUGUCGUCAGUUUAAUUGUUCCACCGGUCUUGAUUGUGUUCUUUGAGGUCAUAUCAUCAGAGUAUAAUCGACGAAAAGAUGGGUUUCCCAAGGAAAAGACAGUAAUCACGAUUGGCAU
Long non-coding RNA from Anneissia japonica, 207 nucleotides. RefSeq lists it as uncharacterized. The transcript has 2 exons. The record is from RefSeq and is a predicted model, not a curated record. NCBI's taxonomy places the organism in Eukaryota, Metazoa, Echinodermata, Crinoidea, Comatulida, Comatulidae.